RNAcentral lists this long non-coding RNA (738 nucleotides) under Eucalyptus grandis. Its description in RNAcentral is "long non-coding RNA (EGRA_LNC000013)". Lineage: Eukaryota; Viridiplantae; Streptophyta; Magnoliopsida; Myrtales; Myrtaceae. The record is from RNAcentral.
AGGACUGAACUUGUGAUAAGAUUAGGUUCAUCUAUGUCUCUCCGAUUCUCCAUGUCUUCUCCCUGAGUAAGUAUCUUUCUGAGCUCUUCUUUCUUUUUUUCUUUUUUUUUCAAGUUAAAAAAUUCUACAUAUAUAGUUAUGUCCAGUGGAUAUAGUCUCGCAUAAAUAUGAAUUAUGCUGAGCACAUCAGAGACGUUUAUUGCUUGCACCCUAUGCAUAUGAACCCAACAUAUUUGGGAUUGAUCGAGUGGACCUCUGAUGCACCCAGUUUAUACAAAAGGUUGAUAAGCUAUUUGGUUCUCUGGGCUGCUGAGACAUUAAGAAAGGUUUACAUACUUAGAUAUGUUUCGUCAAUAUAAUCUUGCAUAAAAAUGAAUUUGAGCACAUCAGAAAUGUUAUUUGCAUGCACCCGUUGCAUUUGAGCCCUACACAUCUGGGACUGAUCAAGUGGACCUCCAACACAUGCCGGGUUAUGAAAAAUCUUGAUCAACCAUUUGGUUGUCUGGCCUGCUGAGACAUUAAGAAAGGUCUACAUACCUAGUUAUGUUUUGUCAAUAUAGUCCCACAUAAAUAUGAAUUCUGCUAAGCACAUCAGAGAUGUUAUUUGCAUGUGCCCCAUGCAUAUGAGCCCAACAUAUUUGGGAUUGAUCAAGUGGACCUCUAUCUUGCUCCAGGUUCAUAUAAUAACUUGACUAGCCAUUUGGUUCUCUGGGCUGCUAAGACAAUGAGAAAGGGACA